UGGGGAAUUUUGGACAAUGGGCGCAAGCCUGAUCCAGCCAUUCCGCGUGAGUGAAGAAGGCCUUCGGGUUGUAAAGCUCUUUCGCAAGGGAAGAAAACUUAGGCUCUAACAUAGCCUGAGGUUGACGGUACCUUGAUAAGAAGCACCGGCUAACUACGUGCCAGCAGCCGCGGUAAUACGUAGGGUGCGAGCGUUAAUCGGAAUUACUGGGCGUAAAGCGUGCGCAGGCGGUUUUGUAAGUCAGAUGUGAAAUCCCCGAGCUCAACUUGGGAACUGCGUUUGAAACUACAAGACUAGAAUAUGUCAGAGGGGGGUAGAAUUCCACGUGUAGCAGUGAAAUGCGUAGAGAUGUGGAGGAAUACCAAUGGCGAAGGCAGCCCCCUGGGAUAAUAUUGACGCUCAUGCACGAAAGCGUGGGGAGCAAACAG
Molecule: ribosomal RNA, 428 nt
Filed under: uncultured bacterium
Lineage: Bacteria
Description: bacterial SSU rRNA
Rfam family: Bacterial small subunit ribosomal RNA
Source: RNAcentral